CCUGACUGUGGUCUCUGUGGUUGCCACAGCGAUGAUUCUCUCCUGGUCCCCCAUGGUGUGACGUCACUGGGCCAGCCGAGGCCAUGGGCUGUGACACUUUCAUGUCCUUCUUGGAACCCCCCGCCCCACACAUCCUCCUUCCUCAAGCGGCAGGCUGUGGGAUUCCUCCCUGUGCAGAUCUUAAAGAAGGUAUGGGUUCCCAGGGAGGGUCCUAUUGUCCUCAGUGCGUAGAAGCCCCACACUGUGCGUGUAAAGAGCUACGUUCUAUAUAGAAGAGGACCACAGCAGUGUGAUUUUAAUGAAAGAGGAAGGAAAUAAAAACCUUUAAAAC
Molecule: long non-coding RNA, 331 nt
Filed under: Mustela putorius furo (domestic ferret)
Lineage: Eukaryota; Metazoa; Chordata; Mammalia; Carnivora; Mustelidae
Description: lncRNA (ENSMPUG00000031712.1)
Source: RNAcentral